RNAcentral lists this small RNA (575 nucleotides) under Pongo abelii (Sumatran orangutan). RNAcentral describes it as "processed transcript". Lineage: Eukaryota; Metazoa; Chordata; Mammalia; Primates; Hominidae. The record is from RNAcentral.
GUCAGUCUCGCCGGGCGCUCCUUCCCUGCGCCCCUGUCUGGAAAAGAGGAGACCUGGAAGCCGGGUUAAACUUUAACACGGGUCGGGCACAGAGCAGGGGGAAUCAGCUACUCUGUGCCAAGCUGGUCAGAGCUCUGCGGGCUGCCGUCCUUGGCCAAGAGCGUGUGGGCUCGCUCCGGUCUCUGCCCAGGCUGGUAAACAAGGGCGUGGAAAAGAUACCCCAGUCUGCGGUGACGAGGACUCCAGUGCCCGAAGUGCAGCUCGCCCAGCCCUAGCUCAGUGCCGAGCUCUUAGUGUGGACUGGGCUGGCCCCGGAAGCCCCCACGGGCUCUACCUGACCCUGCAGAGACAGGGUUUCGCCAUGCUGGCCAUGCUGGUCUCGAACUCCUGACCUCAGGUGAUCCACCUGCCUCAGCCUCUCAAAGUGCUGGGAUUACAGGUGUGAGCCACUGUACCCAGCAGGAAUAUUCCUAAAUAUAAGAGGUAGAACACCUGAAGGAGAAGCUCAUUAGCCAGGCCCAGGAAGUGAGCCGACUGCGAUCUGAGCUGGGGGGCACCGACUUGGAGAAGCACCG